AUUGAACGCUAGCGGGAUGCCUUACACAUGCAAGUCGAACGGAGUGGCGAACGGGUAAGUAAUGUAUCGGAACGUGCCCAGUAGCGGGGGAUAACUACGCGAAAGCGUAGCUAAUACCGCAUACUAUUGGAGCGGCCGAUAGCGGAUUAGCUAGUUGGUGGGGUAACGGCUCCCCAAGGCGACGAUCGGUAGCUGGUUUGAGAGGACGACCAGCAAAACGGGGAGUGAGACAGGGCCCAGACUCCUCCGGGAGGCAGCAGUGGGGAAUUUUGGGCAAUGGGGGAAACCCUGAUCCAGCCAGCCCGCGUGGGCGAUGAAGGCUUUCGGGUUGUAAAGCACUUUUGGCAGGAAAGCGGUACCUGCAGAGUAAGCAACGGCUAACUACGUGCCAGCAGCCGCGGUAAUAC
This 407-nucleotide ribosomal RNA is filed under the name uncultured bacterium. RNAcentral describes it as "partial 16S ribosomal RNA". It matches the Rfam family "Bacterial small subunit ribosomal RNA", at positions 29 to 526 of the family's 1533-position model. The record is from RNAcentral.